AACGAACGCUGGCGGCAUGCCUAACACAUGCAAGUCGAACGAGAUCUUCGGGUCUAGUGGCGCACGGGUACGUAACGCGUGGGAAUCUGCCCUUUGGUUCGGAAUAACAGUUGGAAACGACUGCUAAUACCGGAUGAUGACGAAAGUCCAAAGAUUUAUCGCCAGAGGAUGAGCCCGCGUAGGAUUAGCUAGUUGGUGUGGUAAAGGCGCACCAAGGCGACGAUCCUUAGCUGGUCUGAGAGGAUGAUCAGCCACACUGGGACUGAGACACGGCCAAGACUCCUACGGGAGGCAGCAGUGGGGAAUAUUGGACAAUGGGCGAAAGCCUGAUCCAGCAAGGCCGCGUGGGGGGUGAGGCCUUAGGGUUGUAAAGCUCUUUUACCCGGGAUGAUAAUGACAGUACCGGGAGAAUAAGCUCCGGCUAACUCCGUGCCAGCCGCCGCCGUAA
This 448-nucleotide ribosomal RNA is filed under the name uncultured bacterium. Its description in RNAcentral is "partial 16S ribosomal RNA". It matches the Rfam family "Bacterial small subunit ribosomal RNA", at positions 29 to 523 of the family's 1533-position model. The record is from RNAcentral.